This 72-nucleotide transfer RNA is filed under the name Candidatus Woesearchaeota archaeon. RNAcentral's name for it is "tRNA-His". It matches the Rfam family "tRNA". From Rfam's summary of the family: Transfer RNA (tRNA) molecules are approximately 80 nucleotides in length. The record is from RNAcentral. Lineage: Archaea; Nanobdellati; Candidatus Woesearchaeota.
ACCGCAUUAGUUCAGUGGUUAGAACUUUCGGCUGUGGCCCGGAGGACGCGAGUUCGAUUCUCGCAUGCGGUC